RNAcentral lists this ribosomal RNA (503 nucleotides) under uncultured bacterium. RNAcentral describes it as "partial 16S ribosomal RNA". It matches the Rfam family "Bacterial small subunit ribosomal RNA", at positions 30 to 523 of the family's 1533-position model. The record is from RNAcentral.
AUUGAACGCUGGCGGCAGGCUUAACACAUGCAAGUCGAGCGGAGUGAUGGUGCUUGCACUAUCACUUAGCGGCGGACGGGUGAGUAAUGCUUAGGAAUCUGCCUAUUAGUGGGGGACAACAUCUCGAAAGGGAUGCUAAUACCGCAUACGUCCUACGGGAGAAAGCAGGGGAUCACUUGUGACCUUGCGCUAAUAGAUGAGCCUAAGUCGGAUUAGCUAGUUGGUGGGGUAAAGGCCUACCAAGGCGACGAUCUGUAGCGGGUCUGAGAGGAUGAGCCGCCACAAUGGGACUGAGACACGGCCCAGACUCCUGCGGGAGGCAGCAGUGGGGAAUAUUGGACAAUGGGGGGAACCCUGAUCCAGCCAUGCCGCGUGUGUGAAGAAGGCCUUAUGGUUGUAAAGCACUUUAAGCGAGGAGGAGGCUCUUUUGGUUAAUACCCAAGAUGAGUGGACGUUACUCGCAGAAUAAGCACCGGCUAACUCUGUGCCAGCCGCCGCCGUAA